Eucalyptus grandis is the source of this 65-nucleotide non-coding RNA. Lineage: Eukaryota; Viridiplantae; Streptophyta; Magnoliopsida; Myrtales; Myrtaceae. The record is from Rfam.
UCCCGAUGAGGAAGCACACCCUUAAAGAUAGGAAGUGCCGUAUGACACUCCAAAACGGCGAGCGG